This 263-nucleotide ribosomal RNA is filed under the name uncultured bacterium. RNAcentral describes it as "partial 16S ribosomal RNA". It matches the Rfam family "Bacterial small subunit ribosomal RNA", at positions 91 to 354 of the family's 1533-position model. The record is from RNAcentral.
CUUAGUGGCGGACGGGUGAGUAACGCGUGGGUAACCUGCCCUGUACAGGGGGACAACAGCCGGAAACGGCUGCUAAUACCGCAUAAGCCUGCGGGGCCGCAUGGCCCGGCAGGAAAAGCUGCGGCGGUACAGGAUGGGCCCGCGUCUGAUUAGCCAGUUGGCGGGGUAACGGCCCACCAAAGCAACGAUCAGUAGCCGGCUUGAGAGAGCGAACGGCCACAUUGGGACUGAGACACGGCCCAAACUCCUACGGAAGGCAGCAG